Molecule: ribosomal RNA, 226 nt
Filed under: uncultured bacterium
Lineage: Bacteria
Description: partial 16S ribosomal RNA
Rfam family: Bacterial small subunit ribosomal RNA
Source: RNAcentral
CCUAGCCCUUCAGAGGGGGACAACAGUUGGAAACGACUGCUAAUACCGCAUACGAUCUGACCUCGGCAUCGAGGAUAGAUGAAAGGUGGCCUCUAUUUAUAAGCUAUCACUGAAGGAGGGGAUUGCGUCUGAUUAGCUAGUUGGAGGGGUAACGGCCCACCAAGGCGAUGAUCAGUAGCCGGUCUGAGAGGAUGAACGGCCACAUUGGAACUGAGACACGGUCCAA